Molecule: ribosomal RNA, 397 nt
Filed under: uncultured bacterium
Lineage: Bacteria
Description: bacterial SSU rRNA
Rfam family: Bacterial small subunit ribosomal RNA
Source: RNAcentral
AUUGAACGCUGGCGGCAUGCCUUACACAUGCAAGUCGAACGGCAGCGGGGGCUUCGGCCUGCCGGCGAGUGGCGAACGGGUGAGUAAUGCAUCGGAACGUGCCCAUGUCGUGGGGGAUAACGUAGCGAAAGCUACGCUAAUACCGCAUACGCCCUGAGGGGGAAAGUGGGGGACCGCAAGGCCUCACGCGAAUGGAGCGGCCGAUGUCAGAUUAGCUAGUUGGUGGGGUAAAGGCCCACCAAGGCGACGAUCUGUAGCGGGUCUGAGAGGAUGAUCCGCCACACUGGGACUGAGACACGGCCCAGACUCCUACGGGAGGCAGCAGUGGGGAAUUUUGGACAAUGGGCGCAAGCCUGAUCCAGCCAUGCCGCGUGCGGGACGAAGGCCUCGGUUGUAA